CCAAACUUAUACACAAUCACAAGAAUAUAUUAAAGGCGCCUAAAGGCUUUUCUACGAGUAUUAAUUAUUAAUAGCUCUUUUACAAUAUUUGUGAUGGCCAUGGGAGGGUUAAUUAAGAUGGCACACCUCAAUAAUAAAUAAAUAAAACUUGUACUAGACUAGAGCGAAUUAUGAAUUCUUAGGUUACAACUACAAAUUUAAAGCAAGCAUGGGAUAAUUGCUAGGCACUAGAUUAUUUUAACCAAGGUUUGUCAAACAGACAAGUCCCUUGAACUGUGAAAAUUAGAUGGCCAUGAAUAUGAAAAACGAAAGGGGUGCUAGGCCUUGGAAGCGAAUCCAGAAAUGAAAGAAAAGAGCCUGAGGCACACGAGCCUGGCUUGGUCCAGACAUUCACAUUUGGGCCAUUUAACAGGCAUGACCGCUUUUAAAGGAUGUCAUUAAGGAACUUUACUAUUUGGAAAACCUUAUUCUGCAGGCCUUCAAUUAUCUGAUAUGCCAUGAGUAAUUCAAACAUUAAUCUAAACUAGCCUAAACCAAUUUCAACAAAACAACUAAAAGAUGCUCCUCAUCUAACUUAAAUCCAUAAUACAGAAAAUUCAAGCACCAUAUACUCAACAACGGGAUCCUUUAUUUUUAGCAGAACCACAAACCAACAUAAUAGGCUAAAUUUCUAAUCCAAACUUGAAAAUGAAAUAUAGCAUCAAUAAUAUAAAUAUGCAAACGAACACAUAAUGUAAAGCUAACUCAAUAAAGAAUCUAGACAAAACUUUAUAAUGAACUUUCAGCAAAGCUAAUAUUCAUUCUUAUGUUUCCACACUUGAUUAUACUUAGUCAUAACUAUAUGAAACAUUCUCAAAAUCCAGUAAGUACUAGUUAAUCCAUGUAAACUAUUAUGGCUGCCUGCCAGUUUUCAACUUAUUGAGAACCAUACAUGGAUUCACUAAUGCUAAAGGACCAUCCACAUGAAUAUUAGAUUCAAGCUAAUAUCCUACUUCAAAUUAUUUUCUAAAGAAAACAGAAGAACUAACAAAGUAAACCGCAUCUUAUUAUUACAAAAAAACAAAUACAGUAUGAUGUACAUCUUCAUUUUCCAUUUAAAGGUUCAUGAGAGUACCUGAAUAUAACUAAUAGAAUAAAAUGAGUCUUGAAAUCAACAGAGAUGAAAGCAAGAAUAGAAAUCCAACAGCAACAACACAUUUUCCACGAUUAUCUUUAAACCCAGAUAAAUUAGAAAUUCCUUGAAACCUUUAAAUUCUUACAAACAGUGAACCAACGAGAAAUUCCAAACAAUUUUUGACCAAAACCGCUACAGAAACUCUUAGUGUUUUUCAGGGUAUGAAGGUCUGAUUUUUUGAGUGAAAGAAGGGUCUAUACAUAGCCUUAAAGAAUUCCAUGAGAUCAAAAAGGAUGAGGGAAUUAUUUGUUUCAGCCAUAAAGCAUCUUUUAACAAACUUGGACAGCUAGCUUUAACUCCUUGGUUUCAGUAUUUUGUGCUGACCGGAUGAGGCUAGCUGCCCGCUAUUCUAGAACUUUCCAGCAGGGUCUUUAUCCUAUUAUAUUUAUCCACCCUCCAAAUAGAUCCCUCAAUUUAUUUAUUUACAAUUAGUCCUCACAAAUUUUAAUUAAGGUUGAAACAGUUGAAAUAAAACCAUUGAACAGAAUAAAAAUUGACUUAAGAUAAUUACGGAAUGGCACAUACACUAAUUAAACUGAACUAUUUAUGAGUUUACUACUCAGGCAUGAAUCAAACCAAGUCAAUGAAUCCUAGAAAACUAAUCUAAUGUUAUGAUUGAUACACAUUGGCUGACUAAUCAAAGAGAAGUUUUAAAUGACAAAAAUUUGAACCAAUUGAACAAACCAAGACAUGAAAAACCAAAAAUUUCCCAAAAAAAAAACUACCUGAAUUACUGCCUAAUUAGAGGAACUGUUUCUACUCUCAUAAACACCUAAAUUAACUAAUAAUUAAUGGCUAAAUACUGAACUAAAGAUUGACCACGAAGAAAUGUCAAAAUUUAAGAAAAUGAAAGAGAAAUGAACAAAUAAUAUGGAAUAGCAACACAUAGCGAACAACACUAGGAAGAAGGAAAUUAAACCUAAAAUGAGAACAAGAAAUGUACCUAUUUGAGAAAACAAAAAGUAACCAGGCGUAGAUUUGGCUCGACUUUGUAAUAAUUUGGAAUUACCCCAUAUGAUUGUUUUGUCAAGAACAAUCCAUUUGGGUUGAGUUUCGAACUACACAAACAUGAAGGAUCACAUGAAACUGGAACAUGCAAGAAACUAAUUUUCUUUUCAUCCUCAGAUUUGAAAUUGGAGGAGAUCGGUGGUAUUUGAGGGAAACCAUUGAAGAAUUUGGAAAGGAGGGCAGAUGAGGGUUGCAUGGUUAAAUUUUGGGGUGGUAUACAAAUCGGCCGCCGCCUUGAAGCGAUUUCUGGCGGGUGAUUGACGCUAGAGACGGUAAGGAUAUUGGAAGGCUAGGGUUUCUCUUAGGUUUGGGUUAGAGACGGAUUGAGGGGGUUUCGAAUGCGGUAUGGGGGUUAGUUCAGACAGUUAAAUACAAAGUGAGGCCUUAGUUCCGGGCCGUUGAAUUAUUG
Molecule: long non-coding RNA, 2591 nt
Filed under: Nicotiana benthamiana
Lineage: Eukaryota; Viridiplantae; Streptophyta; Magnoliopsida; Solanales; Solanaceae
Description: long non-coding RNA (NBEN_LNC041727)
Source: RNAcentral